RNAcentral lists this ribosomal RNA (293 nucleotides) under uncultured bacterium. RNAcentral describes it as "partial 16S ribosomal RNA". It matches the Rfam family "Bacterial small subunit ribosomal RNA", at positions 334 to 643 of the family's 1533-position model. The record is from RNAcentral.
UUAACCUACGGGGGGCAGCAGUGGGGGAUAUUGCACAAUGGGGGGAACCCUGAUGCAGCGACGCCGCGUGGGUGAAGGAGUAUUUCGGUAUGUAAAGCCCUAUCGGCAGGGAAGAAGCAAGACGGUACCUGACUAAGAAGCCCCGGCUAACUACGUGCCAGCAGCCGCGGUAAUACGUAGGGGGCGAGCGUUAUCCGGAUUCACUGGGUGUAAAGGGAGCGGAGACGGCCAAGCAAGCCAGGGGUGAAAGGCCGGGGCCCAACCCCGGGGCUGCCCUUGGAACUGCUUGGCUG